UUUUAAGGGGUUAAAUUAAAUUUAAUAUUUACAUGUAAAUGUUAGUAUGAAUAAAGAUUGAUAUUUAAAUAAUGUGAUAAUUAGGGGUUAUUCGCAGUAAAAAUUUUUAAAUAUUAAUGAAAGUUAGAUUUGGGGAAAAUUUAUAGUAUUAACAAAAUUUGUGCCAGCAGUUGCGGUUAUACAAAUAGUACAAUUUAAUUAGAUUUAGUAUUAAUAUGUAAAUGAAUUAAUAAAUUUUAAGGGGGAAUUUAUUAGGUGAAAUUUUAAAUUUUAGGGGGGUUUAUUUUUGCUUAUUAAUUAAGAAAUUUAUUUUAAGACUAGGAUUAGAUACCCUAUUAUUAUAAAUAUAAAAUUAUACUAGAUUAGUAAUAGUUAAGUUCUUGAAAAUUAAAGAUUUUGGCGGUUUUUUAGUCUAUUCAGAGGAACCUGUUCUAUAAUCGAUAAUCCACGAUUUUAAAAACUUUUUUUAUAGUUUGUAUAUCGUCGUAGUUAGAAAAUUUCAAAAGAAUUAUUAAUUUUCAAGAAUUAUUUGUUAAAAGAAAUCAGAUCAAGGUAUAGCUUAUAAAAAAGAAGAAAUGGGUUACAUUAAUUUUAAUUUUGAAUUAUUUAUUUUGAAAAAAUAUGAAUUUGGAUUUGAAUGUAAUUUUAUUUAGAUAGAUAAAAUGAUUAGAGCUCUAAAAUAUGCACAUAUCGCCCGUCGCUUUCAUUUUAAGGUGAAAUAAGUCGUAACAAAGUAGGUUUACUGGAAAGUGGGUCUGGAAAG
This 763-nucleotide non-coding RNA is filed under the name Lamiinae sp. 4 ACP-2013. Lineage: Eukaryota; Metazoa; Arthropoda; Insecta; Coleoptera; Cerambycidae. The record is from RNAcentral.